ACGAAGGGUGCAAGCGUUAAUCGGAAUUACUGGGCGUAAAGCGUGCGCAGGCGGCUCGUUGUGUCGGCGGUGAAAUCCCCCGGGCUUAACCUGGGAACUGCAUUGGUGACUGCAUCGCUCGAGUAUGGCAGAGGGGGGUAGAAUUCCACGUGUAGCAGUGAAAUGCGUAGAGAUGUGGAGGAAUACCGAUGGCGAAGGCAGCCCCCUGGGUCAAUACUGACGCUCAUGCACGAAAGCGUGGGGAGCAAACAGGA
Molecule: ribosomal RNA, 254 nt
Filed under: uncultured prokaryote
Description: partial 16S ribosomal RNA
Rfam family: Bacterial small subunit ribosomal RNA
Source: RNAcentral